This 395-nucleotide ribosomal RNA is filed under the name uncultured bacterium. Its description in RNAcentral is "partial 16S ribosomal RNA". It matches the Rfam family "Bacterial small subunit ribosomal RNA", at positions 523 to 918 of the family's 1533-position model. The record is from RNAcentral.
AUACGUAGGGUGCGAGCGUUAAUCGGAAUUACUGGGCGUAAAGCGUGCGCAGGCGGUUUUGUAAGACAGUGGUGAAAUCCCCGGGCUCAACCUGGGAACUGCCAUUGUGACUGCAAGGCUGGAGUGCGGCAGAGGGGGAUGGAAUUCCGCGUGUAGCAGUGAAAUGCGUAGAUAUGCGGAGGAACACCGAUGGCGAAGGCAAUCCCCUGGGCCUGCACUGACGCUCAUGCACGAAAGCGUGGGGAGCAAACAGGAUUAGAUACCCUGGUAGUCCACGCCCUAAACGAUGUCAACUGGUUGUUGGGAAUUUAUUUUCUCAGUAACGAAGCUAACGCGUGAAGUUGACCGCCUGGGGAGUACGGCCGCAAGGUUAAAACUCAAAUGAAUUGGCGGGG